CCAGCAGCCGCGGUAAUUCCAGCUCCAAUAGCGUAUAUUAAAGUUGUUGCAGUUAAAACGCUCGUAGUUGAAUAUCUGCUAUAUGUGGUCGGUCCAUUUCGGUGUGAUCCGUUUCACGAAUUAGCAUUCGUUUGCUUUGAUUUAUCAUUGCAAACCGUUUACUUUGAGGAAAUUAUAGUGUUCAAAGCAGGCAAGUGCCUUGAAUACUUCAGCAUGGAAUAAUUGAUAGGACUUCCGUUCUGUCGUUGGUUCUGGGAAUGUGAAGUAAUGAUUAAAAGGGGCGGGCGGGGGCAUUCGUAUUGAACAGUCAGAGGUGAAAUUCUUAGAUUUGUUCAAGACGAACU
This 344-nucleotide ribosomal RNA is filed under the name uncultured eukaryote. RNAcentral describes it as "SSU rRNA". It matches the Rfam family "Eukaryotic small subunit ribosomal RNA", at positions 567 to 941 of the family's 1831-position model. The record is from RNAcentral.